This 255-nucleotide ribosomal RNA is filed under the name uncultured bacterium. Its description in RNAcentral is "partial 16S ribosomal RNA". It matches the Rfam family "Bacterial small subunit ribosomal RNA", at positions 524 to 776 of the family's 1533-position model. The record is from RNAcentral.
UACGUAGGGAGCAAGCGUUGUCCGGAUUUAUUGGGCGUAAAGAGCCUCGUAGGCGGCUUAGCAAGUCAGAUGUGAAAACUCCAGGCUCAACCUGGAGACGCCAUUUGAUACUGCUAUGGCUUGAGUUCGGUAGGGGUAAGCGGAAUUCCUGGUGUAGCGGUGAAAUGCGCAGAUAUCAGGAGGAACACCGAUGGCGAAGGCAGCUUACUGGGCCGAUACUGACGCUGAUGCGCGAAAGCGUGGGUAGCAAACAGG